RNAcentral lists this ribosomal RNA (253 nucleotides) under uncultured bacterium. RNAcentral describes it as "partial 16S ribosomal RNA". It matches the Rfam family "Bacterial small subunit ribosomal RNA", at positions 524 to 776 of the family's 1533-position model. The record is from RNAcentral.
UACGUAGGGGGCAAGCGUUGUCCGGAUUUACUGGGCGUAAAGAGCGUGUAGGCGGCCAAGCAGGUCCGUUGUGAAAACUGGAGGCUUAACCUCCAGACGUCGACGGAAACCGCGUGGCUAGAGUCCGGAAGAGGAGAGUGGAAUUCCUGGUGUAGCGGUGAAAUGCGCAGAUAUCAGGAAGAACACCAGUGGCGAAGGCAGCUCGCUGGGACGGUACUGACGCUGAGACGCGAAAGCGUGGGGAGCGAACAGG